GCAGGCUGAAACUACGCCUGUAUGAAGAUGGAGUUGCUAGUAAUCGCGAAUCAGAAUGUCGCGGUGAAUACGUUCCCGGGUCUUGUACACACCGCCCGUCACACCAUGAGAGUUGGCAACACCCGAAACCUGUGGGCUAACCGAAAGGAGGCAGCAGUCUAAGGUGGGGUCAGUGAUUGGGGUGAAGUCGUAACAAGGUAAC
This 202-nucleotide ribosomal RNA is filed under the name uncultured bacterium. RNAcentral describes it as "partial 16S ribosomal RNA". It matches the Rfam family "Bacterial small subunit ribosomal RNA", at positions 1300 to 1500 of the family's 1533-position model. The record is from RNAcentral.